This 2365-nucleotide ribosomal RNA is filed under the name Phycisphaera sp. TMED24. RNAcentral describes it as "bacterial LSU rRNA". It matches the Rfam family "Bacterial large subunit ribosomal RNA", at positions 1 to 2551 of the family's 2925-position model. The record is from RNAcentral. Lineage: Bacteria; Pseudomonadati; Planctomycetota; Phycisphaerae; Phycisphaerales; Phycisphaeraceae.
GAUCACGGGCCCAAGGGCACAUGGCGGAUGUCUUGGCGUCGAGAGGCGAUGAAGGACGUGGUAACCUGCGAUAAGCCCGAAGGAGCCGGUAACAGGCUUUGAUUUUGGGAUUUCCGAAUGGGGCAACCCACCCUGCGGGGUACUCAAUGCUGAAUGUAUAGGUAUUGAGAGCGAACCUGGUGAACUGAAACAUCUAAGUAGCCAGAGGAAAAGAAAGCAAACGCGAUUCCCCUAGUAGCGGCGAGCGAAAAGGGACCAACCGACAGACUCACGAACCACCUGGAAAGGUGGACCACAGAAGGUGACAGUCCUGUAAUGACGAGUCGGCCAGCCCACGAGUAGUACGGAGCCCGUGAAACUCCGUGCGAACAUGGGGGGUCCACCCCCUAAGGCUAAAUACUCCUCGACGACCGAUAGUGAACCAGUAAGGUGACUGAACGAUGAAAAGCACCCCGACAAGGGGAGUGAAAAGUACCUGAAACCAUGUGCCUACAAGCGGUGGGAGCCUUCGGGUGACCGCGUGCCUUUUGCAUAAUGAUCCUGCGAGUUGGUCUUCAUAGCUAGGUUAAGCAGUACCGCUGCGUAGCCGUAGGGAAACCGAGCCUGAAAGGGCGUUGAGUUGUGGGGACCAGACGCGAAACCUUAGUGAUCUACCCAUGGGCAGGUUGAAGGCCGGGUAACACCGGCUGGAGGACCGAACUCACUAACGUUGAAAAGUUAGGGGAUGACCUGUGGGGAGGACUAAAAGUGUAAUCAAACUGGGAGAUAGCUCGUUCUCCGCGAAAUGCCUUUAGGGGCAGCCUCGUGUUACAUCCAGCAGGGGUAGAGCACUGAUUCGGGCUGGGGGGUAUUGCACCUACCCACCUGAGUCAAACUCCGAAUACUGUUGGACUCUGUCACGGGAGUGAGCCCAUGGGAGAUAAUUUCCAUGGACGAAAGGGAAACAACCCUCACCACCGGCUAAGGUCCCCAAACGGGACUCAGUUCUUAAGGUGGUCAAGAUUCAUUGACAGCCAGGAUGUUGGCUUAGAAGCAGCCACCAUUUAAAGAGUGCGUAACAGCUCACUGGUCGAGAAUUUUGGCGCCGAUAAUGAUCGGGAAUCAAGUCCCGUACCGAAGCCGUGGACGAAAGUGGUAGCGGAGCGUUGCUGUCAGCGCUGAAGGCGUCUCGUGAGGGACGUUGGAGCGGCAGCAAGUGAAUAUGCAGGAUUGAGUAACGAUAAACGGAGUGAGAAUCUCCGUCGCCGAAAGCCUAAGGGUUCCUGGGGAAGGGAAAUCCGCCCAGGGUAAGGCGGGACCUAAGACGAGCCCGACAGGGGUAGUCGAUGGACAGCCGGCUAAUAUUCCGGCCCUCACGGUGAGAUCAAAGCGAAGUGCGGAUUCGAAAGCUACACGGGACAGUGAAGCGUCCGUCAGUGGGUGGAAGAGUUCCAAGAAAAGCUUCGUGGGCAAUCCGUGACCCGUACUAAAACUGACACAGGUAGGCAUGGUGAAUAACCUCAGGCGCUCGAGAGAAUGGUUGUGAAGGAACUAGGCAAAUUGACCCCGUACGUUAGCAAUAAGGGGGCCCUACCGGUUAAACGGAGGGCGCAGAGAAAAGGCUCUGACGACUGUUUAUCAAAAACACAGCACUGUGCAAACUCGAAAGAGGACGUAUACAGUGUGACUCCUGCUCGGUGCCAGAAUGUUAAGGAAGUAGGUUAGCUCCGGCGAAGCUUACGACUGAAGCACUGGUAAACAGCGGCCGUAACUAUGACGGUCCUAAGGUAGCGAAAUUCCUUGUCGGGUAAGUUCCGACGCGCAUGAAUGGAGUAACGAUUGGAGCACUGUCUCCACAACCAACUCGGUGAAAUAGUAGUGGCGGUGAAGAUGCCGCCUUACCGUGGCAAGACGGAAAGACCCCGUGGACCUUUACUGUAGGCUUGUAUUGAUCACGAUUCUGUGAUGCGUAGGAUAGGUGGGAGGCUUUGAAGCUGGGAUUUCGGUCCUGGUGGAGCCGUUGGUGAAAUACCACUCUUUGCAUUGUUGUGAUCUAACCCUGAUUCCCAUGAAGCUGGGCAGGGAACCGUGCAUGCCGGGCAGUUUGACUGGGGCGGUCUCCUCCUAAAGUGUAACGGAGGAGCACAAAGGUCAGCUCAACGCGGUUGGAAACCGUGUUUCGAGUGUAAGAGCACAAGCUGGCUUUACUGCGAGACAAACAGGUCGAGCAGUUACGAAAGUAGGUUCUAGUGAUCCUGCGAUCCCGUGUGGAAGGGUCGUAGCUCAUCGGAUAAAAGGUACCCCGGGGAUAACAGGCUUAUCGCUCCCGAGCGUCCAUAGCGGCGGAGCGGUUUGGCACCUCGAUGUCGGCUCAUCGCAUCCUGGG